UGUCUUCGGGGCGGGGCGAAAUUCCCCACCGGCGGUAUAGUCCGCGAGCGAGCCUUUCCGAGGUGAGCAGGAACCGGUGCAAUUCCGGUACCGACAGUAUAGUCUGGAUGAGAGAAGGCG
RNAcentral lists this non-coding RNA (120 nucleotides) under human gut metagenome. RNAcentral's name for it is "FMN riboswitch (RFN element)". It matches the Rfam family "FMN riboswitch aptamer (RFN element)". From Rfam's summary of the family: The RFN element is a highly conserved domain that is found frequently in the 5'-untranslated regions of prokaryotic mRNAs that encode for flavin mononucleotide (FMN) biosynthesis and transport proteins. This element is a metabolite-dependent riboswitch that directly binds FMN in the absence of proteins. In Bacillus subtilis, the riboswitch most likely controls gene expression by causing premature transcription termination within the 5' untranslated region of the ribDEAHT operon and precluding access to the ribosome-binding site of ypaA mRNA. The record is from RNAcentral.